This is a long non-coding RNA of Panonychus citri (citrus red mite), 239 nucleotides long. RefSeq lists it as uncharacterized. NCBI's taxonomy places the organism in Eukaryota, Metazoa, Arthropoda, Arachnida, Trombidiformes, Tetranychidae. The transcript is spliced from 3 exons. The record is from RefSeq and is a predicted model, not a curated record.
UCAUUAUCGAAAUGUAAAACCAAUGAUAUUUCGUUAAUGUUAAAGAGACUCGAAGUUUUGGAUCGAUUAUCAUAUCGUAAUAUUGGCUUAUAUUUUAAUGAAACAGUUUUGAUAUGUAAUCAUUUCUCGAUCAUUUUCUUAUUGGAAUGUAUUGGAUUAUAUUUCCUCAUGUAUUCGACUUUGAGCAGUACAAAUAGUACAACCAAUCAAUAAAAUCUCUGACUACUAUGCCAAAACCC